RNAcentral lists this small nuclear RNA (125 nucleotides) under Tursiops truncatus (common bottlenose dolphin). RNAcentral describes it as "U2 spliceosomal RNA (ENSTTRG00000024575.1)". The stretch from base 1 to 96 matches the Rfam family "U2 spliceosomal RNA". From Rfam's summary of the family: U2 is a small nuclear RNA (snRNA) component of the spliceosome (involved in pre-mRNA splicing). Complementary binding between U2 snRNA (in an area lying towards the 5' end but 3' to hairpin I) and the branchpoint sequence (BPS) of the intron results the bulging out of an unpaired adenosine, on the BPS, which initiates a nucleophilic attack at the intronic 5' splice site, thus starting the first of two transesterification reactions that mediate splicing. Lineage: Eukaryota; Metazoa; Chordata; Mammalia; Artiodactyla; Delphinidae. The record is from RNAcentral.
AUUGCUUCUCAGCCUUUUGGCUAAGACCAAGUGUAGUAUCUGCUCUUAGCAGUUUAAUAUAAAUGUUAGUUGAGAAGUUACAAUGUGCUAGGCCCUGUGUUAAAUGCUAGAACACAGAAUUAGUU